This 1199-nucleotide unclassified non-coding RNA is filed under the name Leishmania donovani. RNAcentral's name for it is "gene:LdHU3.34.6060(CDS-product:hypothetical_prote in_conserved)". Lineage: Eukaryota; Euglenozoa; Kinetoplastea; Trypanosomatida; Trypanosomatidae. The record is from RNAcentral.
AGUCCUGUGCCAUAUUUUUAUUUUUAUUUUUUGCUCAUUCGCGGUGCACCAGUCCCCUGUCGUGCGUGCGGGAGCGUCUUGCCAAGCAGCAGCCACGGUGCUUUUGAACAAGUAGUGCCGGCAUUUUGUCCCCCUAGCCUCCUACGCGCACUCUGCAGCUAUCGUUUGCCGGUUUGGGAGCAUCAGCUCGAGCGGUGCUAGCCGCAUACUCGCCUAAGAAGCGGCGCACCUUCCGCGACGCCCUUCGGAUACAUCUCACUUUUCUUUCCCUUCCUUUCCUUUCCUCCUCCCUCCUACUCCCUUUUGCCCGGGCCUUUCGAAACAUCGCGUCUCUCUUGCAUCUUCGCCCUCCCAUCAUCCGCACCCCUGUGUCUGUGCCGCUGCUCACACGUUGCGUGUGGUGGCCAGACAUUGUCCUCCUCUUGCGGCUAGGCUUUUCACAUGGCUAGCGCGCACACACUCGCACGCAUUCUCCGGCUUUCAGCUGGGUCUCUCUUCUCCACACCCUGCCCUCCUCUCCGUCGUGUGGGGGCGCUUCUCGUCCUCCCACGGCUGACCUUUGGAUUUCGCUUACUAUUGUCGUGUACAAGGUGAGCAGGCUGCCAUGUUGAACAUUCCGGACUACCGCCAACAACCACUUGUACGCAUGGUUUACGCGUGGCCCGCGUUCCUCGGCGUCCUCCUGUUUACUUUGUUGACCCUUGUCGGGAUGAUGCGCUGCGUUUUUCGGGGCCUUGACGGUGGUUCGCCACGAUACAUCGGCCCGAACACCACCACUUCUGUUCGGCAAGAUAUUUUCUAUGUUGUAGCUGCUCCACUCGUCUUUCAGGGUCUGUGUGUGAGCAUCUACACAACAUGGGUAAGCUGGAAGUUCUUUCGCCACAACUGAGCGCCGCUCUGACAGCGACCUCCUGGUGCGGUCAAUGUCUCGGUGGUGUGCGCCUCAAAGCCGCUGUGGUGACACCUCUGGCGUGUGGUCGUUCAGCUUUCACGCUCUACACGGAGUGCUCUCCCUGGUACUUCCACCACCACCACCGCCACGGCCACCCAAUCCCUCAGCGCAUCGGUGUGCACGGGUCUUUCGCUGCGCCUGCGUGCCCACCGAGCGCAGCUGCUCAAUUCGAGGUGCGCGCUUCAAAAGUUUUCUCUUUCACCCACUUCCCGCCCUCCCCGUCCUCCCUGCCGGCGGGGAGUCGAAG